This 490-nucleotide ribosomal RNA is filed under the name uncultured bacterium. RNAcentral describes it as "partial 16S ribosomal RNA". It matches the Rfam family "Bacterial small subunit ribosomal RNA", at positions 30 to 507 of the family's 1533-position model. The record is from RNAcentral.
AUUGAACGCUGGCGGCAGGCCUAACACAUGCAAGUCGAACGGUAACAGGAAGCAGCUUGCUGCUUUGCUGACGAGUGGCGGACGGGUGUGUAAUGUCUGGGAAACUGCCCGAUGGAGGGGGAUAACUACUGGAAACGGUAGCUAUAACCGCAUAACGUCGCAAGACCAAAGAGGAGGACCUUAGGGCCUCUUGCCAUCGGCUGUGCCCAGAUGGGAUUAGCUAGUAGGUGGGGUAACGGCUCACCUAGGCGACGAUCCCUAGCUGGUCUGAGAGGAUGACCAGCCACACUGGAACUGAGACACGGUCCAGACUCCUACGGGAGGCAGCAGUGGGGAAUAUUGCACAAUGGGCGCAAGCCUGAUGCAGCCAUGCCGCGUGUGUGAAGAAGGCCUUCGGGUUGUAAAGUACUUUCAGCGGGGAGGAAGGGAGUAAAGUUAAUACCUUUGCUCAUUGACGUUACCCACAGAAGAAGCACCGGCUAACUACGUG